CCUCACUCGACUGACGUCUGCUUUAGGUAUCGCAGCAGGAACCGAAGUACGCCCGAGGACUUCAGGAACCAUGCCGAAGCCACACAGUGAAGCAGGCACUGCCUUCAUUCAGACCCAGCAGCUCCACGCAGCCAUGGCUGACACCUUCCUGGAACACAUGUGCCACCUGGACAUUGAUUCUGCCCCCAUCACGGCCCGUAACACUGGCAUCAUUUGUACCAUUGGGCCUGCUUCCCGAUCUGUGGAGAUGCUGAAGGAGAUGAUUAAGUCUGGAAUGAAUGUGGCUCGGCUGAAUUUCUCUCAUGGAACCCAUGAGUACCAUGCAGAGACCACCAAGAAUGUCCGUGAAGCCACAGAAAGCUUUGCAUCUGAUCCCAUUCUCUACCGUCCUGUUGCUGUGGCUCUGGAUACAAAGGGACCUGAGAUCCGGACUGGACUCAUCAAGGGCAGCGGUACUGCUGAGGUGGAGCUGAAGAAGGGAGCCACUCUGAAGAUCACCCUGGACAACGCUUACAUGGAGAAGUGUGACGAGAACAUCCUGUGGCUGGACUACAAGAACAUCUGCAAGGUGGUGGAGGUGGGCAGCAAGAUCUACGUGGACGAUGGGCUCAUCUCACUGCAGGUGAAGGAGAAAGGUGCUGACUUCCUGGUGACAGAGGUGGAGAAUGGUGGCUCCUUGGGCAGCAAGAAGGGCGUGAACCUGCCCGGUGCUGCUGUGGAUCUCCCCGCUGUGUCGGAAAAGGACAUCCAGGACCUGAAGUUUGGGGUGGAGCAGGAUGUGGACAUGGUGUUUGCAUCUUUCAUCCGCAAGGCAGCCGACGUGCUGUCAGUAAGGUGCUGGGAGAGAAGGGCAAGAACAUCAAGAUCAUCAGCAAAAUCGAGAACCAUGAAGGUGUCUGAAGGUUUGAUGAGAUCUUGGAGGCCAGUGAUGGGAUCAUGGUGGCUCGUGGUGACCUGGGCAUUGAGAUUCCUGCAGAGAAGGUCUUCCUGGCUCAGAAGAUGAUGAUCGGGAGAUGCAACCGAGCUGGGAAGCCUGUCAUCUGUGCCACACAGAUGCUAGAGAGCAUGAUCAAGAAGCCACGCCCCACCCGUGCUGAAGGCAGUGAUGUGGCCAAUGCAGUCCUGGAUGGAGCAGAUUGCAUCAUGCUGUCUGGAGAAACAGCCAAGGGGGACUACCCUCUGGAGGCUGUUCGCAUGCAGCACCUGAUUGCCCGAGAGGCAGAGGCUGCCAUCUACCACUUGCAGCUAUUCGAGGAACUCCGCCGCCUGGCGCCCAUUACCAGCGACCCCACAGAAGCUGCCGCCGUGGGUGCCGUGGAGGCCUCCUUCAAGUGCUGCAGUGGGGCCAUUAUCGUGCUCACCAAGUCUGGCAGGAGUGCUCACCAAGUGGCCAGGUACCGCCCUCGGGCUCCUAUCAUUGCCGUGACUCGCAAUCUCCAGACUGCUCGCCAGGCCCAUAUGUACCGUGGCAUCUUCCCUGUGCUGUGUAAGGAUGCCGUACUGAAUGCCUGGGCUGAGGAUGUCGACCUUCGUGUAAACUUGGCCAUGGAUGUUGGCAAGGCCCGAGGCUUCUUCAAGAAGGGAGAUGUGGUCAUUGUGCUGACCGGGUGGCGCCCUGGCUCUGGAUUCACCAACACCAUGCGUGUAGUGCCUGUACCUUGAUGGCCCUCUGGAGCCCCUCUUCUAGCCCCUGUCCCUUCCCCUCCCC
This is a non-coding RNA of Mus caroli (Ryukyu mouse), 1708 nucleotides long. The record is from RefSeq and is a predicted model, not a curated record. NCBI's taxonomy places the organism in Eukaryota, Metazoa, Chordata, Mammalia, Rodentia, Muridae.